AACGCACCUUGCGCUCCUUGGUAUUCCGAGGAGCAUGCCUGUUUGAGUGUCAUGAAAUUCUCAACCUUUUCGACUUUUUCUAAGUCGACUAGGCUUGGAUGUGGGAGUUUGCGGGCUUCUCCGAAGUCGGCUCUCCUUAAAUUUAUUAGUAGGGACCUCUGUUGCCUUAGCUUUUGGUGUGAUAAUUAUCUACGCCAUCAUGUGAAGCAGCUUUAAAUUGGGGUUGCUGCUCUCUAACAGUCUCUUUGGUGGGACAAUUUAUGACAAUUUGACCUCAAAUCAGGUAGGACUACCCGCUGAACUUAA
This 306-nucleotide unclassified non-coding RNA is filed under the name uncultured fungus. RNAcentral describes it as "partial contains 5.8S ribosomal RNA, internal transcribed spacer 2, and large subunit ribosomal RNA". The stretch from base 1 to 52 matches the Rfam family "5.8S ribosomal RNA", at positions 103 to 154 of the family's 154-position model. Lineage: Eukaryota; Fungi. RNAcentral also lists the same sequence under 1 other name. The record is from RNAcentral.